Molecule: long non-coding RNA, 410 nt
Organism: Pogoniulus pusillus (Red-fronted tinkerbird)
Lineage: Eukaryota; Metazoa; Chordata; Aves; Piciformes; Lybiidae
Exons: 3
Source: RefSeq, a predicted model, not a curated record
AGUCUCACUGCAUUAUGGUUUAGGAAAAUAAUCUUGUGUCUUUCCUCUAAAGGUUCAUCUUCCUAAUGCCUCUGAAGAACAGGAAUGUAAUGCUGUACUUACCAUCAAUUAUCAUGUAAAUAAAAAACAGAGGGAAUUCACACUCAAUGCCAUCAAAAAGCUGAAAAGAAGGAAAACCAAUCAGACUGAGCAACAGCUCAUUAACCUCGCUGCCACUAACCUUGGUCCUUAACCUCUUGGCUGCACCUCUAUUCUUUCUCAGGAUUGGGGUUACACGCAGGUGCGAAGAACUUUCUCUUGAGAGGCUCAGCAGGAUUUCUCAAAGCUAUUGGAACACAGCUGGAGCUAAGCAGAAAGGCAAACUCUGCUGCAGACUGAAGGUCAUAAUGGUUUCUGUUUAUGCUAAAUAU